GCACCUUUUACACUGGAAAUAAAACCUCUCCUCCAAAUUUAACCAUAGUAAACCGACUACCCUAUUUCGUUCUAAAAUAAAUGAAAAGGAACCCAUAACUCGAUUUUCAGGAAAAAUAUAUCAAUCAUGCAAUGUAUAAAUCAAACAUUCACAAGUUUAUAAAUAACAUCGAAUGUACCUUAUUGGAUUUAGCACGACGAUGGACGGAGUUGGGGAAGAUGAUCGGAGUUGGGGAAGAUGAUU
Molecule: long non-coding RNA, 243 nt
Filed under: Zostera marina
Lineage: Eukaryota; Viridiplantae; Streptophyta; Magnoliopsida; Alismatales; Zosteraceae
Description: long non-coding RNA (ZMAR_LNC001744)
Source: RNAcentral